UGGUCAAGUUAUUAAGGGUGCAGGGCGGAUGCCUUGGCACUAGGAGCCGAUGAAGGACGUGAUAAGCUGCGAUAAGCUUCGGGGAGUUGCACGUAAACUUUGAUCCGAAGAUUUCCGAAUGAGGAAACUCACUUAGAGUAAUGUCUAAGUAUCAUUAAGUGAAUACAUAGCUUAAUGAGGGGAACUCAGGGAACUGAAACAUCUAAGUACCUGAAGGAAGAGAAAGAAAUUCGAUUCCGUAAGUAGCGGCGAGCGAACGCGGAUUAGCCCAAACCAAUA
RNAcentral lists this ribosomal RNA (279 nucleotides) under Clostridioides difficile. RNAcentral's name for it is "partial 23S ribosomal RNA". It matches the Rfam family "Bacterial large subunit ribosomal RNA", at positions 1 to 279 of the family's 2925-position model. Lineage: Bacteria; Bacillati; Bacillota; Clostridia; Peptostreptococcales; Peptostreptococcaceae. The record is from RNAcentral.